RNAcentral lists this long non-coding RNA (2860 nucleotides) under Homo sapiens (human). RNAcentral's name for it is "HSALNT0328662". Lineage: Eukaryota; Metazoa; Chordata; Mammalia; Primates; Hominidae. The record is from RNAcentral.
GCCUCAAUCCUCUGCCAGGAGAUCCGGCUGCUUUUCUCACACUUUGGCUCCUCACCUCCCCUAAGCUAAUAUGCACUCCCUAGCAAAUUAUAAGCAUUCAGAACUGGAGCAGAGACUGUGGCUUGAGGGUAAAAUUAACUCUACCAGCUGAAUAGUUUCCCCUCUUCAUCAAAAUGUGCAGUUGGAGGCUUUAAAAAAUGUCUAUGUGCAUAAACUUUGUUAUUAGUUGAAAGCGGAAAUAAAUGCUAGAUAAAAAGUUUUCACAUAUGAGAGGCCUGAAACAUUCUAUACUUUUAUGCACCACUUAGUGUGUAGUCAUUUCCUGCUUUGUUCUUUUGUUGCACUAUUUAAAAUGCUUUAUCUCUCAUUUUUUAGUUCAUACAUGUUGGAAAUACUUACUGAAGGUUAUUAUGAACUAUGAUGUUCUUUUAUUGUUGAAGUAUUCCCUACUUUAGAGUUAAUGGGUUUCAUUCAAGGUCCAUGAUCCACCUAAGAUUAAUAGUAAGAUGAUAGAGUGUACAAAUGAAUAUCAUAACAUAUCGUCCUUCAGCUGGUUCUUGAAAGCUACAAGAGACAGAAUAUGGUUAUAAAUAUAUACAAAUAUGUAAUCUCCAUUGUUUUUAUAUAUAAUGCUACUGUACAUUACAAUAUCCUGAAGAAAAUGGCAUUCUUCACGAUUUUAUUCACUUGACCAGUGAAUGCUUUUCUAUCCUUUGGCAUUGGAGUGCUGUGCCUUUUAAGGAUGUUGUCAGCCUAUGCUAAUUGAAAUGUUUAUAAAAUGCUGAUUCUGAAAUAUUGCAGCUUAACAGUUCAAUAGUUCUUUAAUGGGCCCUCUGUUUUAUUAAUGAAAUGAUUUAUAGAAAUAUUUAAUCUCACUGAUUUACCAUUAGCAUUAAUGAGUCUAGUUAUUAAGCACUCUAUUUCCAAAGGCUAUGAAAACAGCCCUGGCAAGUGUGUAGUAUUUUGCGAUGAGUUAUUUGUGCUGAGAUAGAAUCAAUGCUGUGGGAAGCUUAUUCCUCAAGUGGAACAGCAUUAUUUAUAAACAUGUAACUUGAUGACUCUUUUUGUAAUUUUCAUACCAUUGCUUUUUUUACAAGAAAUUUAAUAUCAAUUAUGAAAACCAUCCCACAGCAUUUUAAAGACAUUUAGAUGAUAUAUAAAUAUAUUUUUCAUAUUAAUUAAACUAUGCUAUGACAGUAAACCAUUUAAAAAUACUUAAACUGAUCCUUGAGGAAUACAAAGGUUUAUUCUUUAGAGAAACCACAUUUGUAUUUCCUAUUGUCUCUGGUAAAUAUUUAAGAUAACUAUUACUAUUUACCCAGAGAACCUUCUUUAAAUAACAGACUGAACCCCACAAAAUAUUUGUGUCUACUUAUGACAAUAUUUCCUUUCUGUAUAUUUAAAGAUUUCACAUUUUAUGGACAGAAUUUAGUUACAUAUCUUAAGUAUAUUUAUGUGACAACUCUUCAACAUGUGACGUCACACUUUAGGGUUCCUCCUCUCCCCUCCCCUUCUUUCCCCUCUCUUCCUCUCCUUUUUUGUCUUUCAAAGGAAAUAAACAUAGUGGUUCAGAGGAUGGAUUUUAGAGGCAAACUAACUUGAAUUUAGAUACUUACACUUUGCUAGCUACGUGACUUUAGGCAAGUCCUUUUGACUUUCUGAAUCUCUGCUUCUUCCCCAGAAAAAAAAAAUAGGGAUAAAAGCAAAAUUGUGUACCUUUUAGGUUUUAUAUAAAAGCAAUAAAAUAUUGCAUGAAGAGAAUUUAGAGCACAGCCAAGUUUAUAAAUACAUUUAAUAAACAUUAGCUAUCAUCAUAAUAAAUAUGGUCUAAAAUCAAAACAGGAGGAGAGAACUAAGAAAAAGAUCAUUUUAAUUGUAUCAAGAAUGAAUAGAAUUGUAAUGCUGGAUAACCUCUAAAAGUUUUUUCUAAAGUAGAUAUUUAUAUGAUUGCAUUCUGAAACAAAGUUCUAACCUCUCUUCUACAUUUUAACCUGUGGGUUCUCCAUCCUAGAACUCAUCACCACCCCAGUCCUCACAUUGGUUGGCAUUUCUCUUGCAUACUACCAAAUACAAUAGCUGAUACUUCAGACAGAAAAUGAGCUUACAGGCUAAAAUAAAGUUCAUAAAAUGGGGGAGGGAAAAAAGAGCACUGACACUGUAUUGAAACAGUGCUUUUAUCUGACUGUUGUAUUAUGGGUAAUUAUUGUUUUCAUUAUAAUUUUCUGGCAUUUUCUAAGUUUUUGGCCAAAAGCACAAUAGGGCUUCUUAAUUUGUAUUAUCAGAAUAAGUGAGGUAACAUCUUUUUAAAAUAAGAUUUAAUUUCAUCAUCUCAAGGAUUCAUAGAAUUCCAUAUUUGCAAGUAAGUUUUUAUCAAAGCUUUAUAAUCCCCUUUAAAAUUUAUUUUGUUUUGCAUGUUUGAAUAUCAUUUUUUAAAAGUCAAAUAGAUGUCAUGAUAUGUUCAGUAGUCCCCCAAACCACUCUCAGGUUCAAUGAUCUAUUAGAAGAACUCACAGAACUCAGGUUUAUUUCAGUGAAAGUGUACAGAUUAAACACAUAGAGUCCAGGAGAGAAGAGGCGCAUGCUUUCAGUUCUCCUCUCCCGGUGGAGUCACAGGGACAAUGCUUAAUUAAUUCAGUAAGUGUGUGACAAUAUGCAAAAAUAUUGACAACCAGGGAAGCUCAAUCUGAUAACUUGGAACUUUGGGGUCUAGAUUUAUUAUUGGUCAUUGCUCAAUAGACCAAUAAUAUAUACUUAUACUGAUACAUACUUACGUCAUUUGAAAAAGCCAUAUACCUAAUAUCAUUGGGGUGUCUAUGUGUGUGUGUGUGUGUGUAUACACACAUGCACUGGUGUAUAACUG